Callithrix jacchus (white-tufted-ear marmoset) is the source of this 148-nucleotide unclassified non-coding RNA. It matches the Rfam family "Metazoan signal recognition particle RNA". From Rfam's summary of the family: The signal recognition particle (SRP) is a universally conserved ribonucleoprotein. It is involved in the co-translational targeting of proteins to membranes. The record is from Ensembl. NCBI's taxonomy places the organism in Eukaryota, Metazoa, Chordata, Mammalia, Primates, Cebidae.
GCCGGGCAUGGUGGCGCAUGCCUGUAAUCCCAGCUACUUGGGAGGCUGAGGCAGGAGAAUUGCUUGCACCCGGGAGGUGGAGGUUGCAGUGAGCCGAGAUCGUGCCACUGCAUUCCAGCCUGGGCAACAGAGCGAGACUCUGUCUCAA